AAAAAGACAAACUCUUUUCCGUGCCUAACAUUUGACCGUCCGUCUUAUUUGAAAAAAUUAUAAAAAAAAUUAAAAAAACAAGUCACGCAUAAAAUAUUAAUCUUGUUUUAUCAUCUAACAACAAUGAAAAUCCGAAUUAUAAAAAAAAUUCAUAUAAGAUGAACAGUCAAAGUUGGACACGGAAACCCAUGAUUUAUCUUUUU
This is a microRNA precursor of Oryza sativa Indica Group (long-grained rice), 203 nucleotides long. It matches the Rfam family "MIR812 microRNA precursor family". Lineage: Eukaryota; Viridiplantae; Streptophyta; Magnoliopsida; Poales; Poaceae. The record is from Rfam.